ACUCCUGCGGGAGGCAGCAGUGGGGAAUAUUGGACAAUGGGCGCAAGCCUGAUCCAGCCAUGCCGCGUGAGUGAUGAAGGCCCUAGGGUUGUAAAGCUCUUUCACCGGUGAAGAUAAUGACGGUAACCGGAGAAGAAGCCCCGGCUAACUUCGUGCCAGCAGCCGCGGUAAUACGAAGGGGGCUAGCGUUGUUCGGAUUUACUGGGCGUAAAGCGCACGUAGGCGGACUAUUAAGUCAGGGGUGAAAUCCCGGGGCUCAACCCCGGAACUGCCUUUGAUACUGGUAGUCUUGAGUUCGAGAGAGGUGAGUGGAAUUCCGAGUGUAGAGGUGAAAUUCGUAGAUAUUCGGAGGAACACCAGUGGCGAAGGCGGCUCACUGGCUCGAUACUGACGCUGAGGUGCGAAAGCGUGGGGAGCAAACAGGAUUAGAAACCCUUGUAGUCCCAUG
Molecule: ribosomal RNA, 448 nt
Filed under: uncultured organism
Description: partial 16S ribosomal RNA
Rfam family: Bacterial small subunit ribosomal RNA
Source: RNAcentral